Gavialis gangeticus (Gharial) is the source of this 900-nucleotide long non-coding RNA. RefSeq lists it as uncharacterized. Lineage: Eukaryota; Metazoa; Chordata; Crocodylia; Gavialidae. The transcript has 4 exons. The record is from RefSeq and is a predicted model, not a curated record.
UUAAGUUAAUUUUAAAGGCUGUUAACUUUUAACUUUAACUAGUUACGUUUUUCAUAAACUUUUCCCAUUACUAUAUUUUUCUCCCAUGUUGUGUUCCACAUACAAUUUUUAUGAACCACUAUUGAACAAGAACAGCUGGCUCCAAAAGAGAGGAGCUCUAUGUUAUCUACAGACCAAAUAAACUCAGAAUAGUCAUGCCCCAACCAGGAUGAUGAUGUUAGCUCAUAGCGAUGGUCAUUUAAAUACUGAGUGAAACAGAUUAUUGACAUUAAGGUGAUGAGCUUCCACUAGAGGCUGUGUUUCUUCAAGGCGAGGUGCUACACGUCUUCUAGCAUGACGAGGACUUGAUCUAAAACCCUGUGACAUAAGAAAAGCAAUGCAUAAGAAUGGCUGAGUUGCUGGAGAGUUAUGCAUCUUUUCUGGAUCUUCAGGCUGCUGAUUCCUAAACUAAGGAUAACUGGUUUGGUAUCUAAGGGGACUUGAGAACCGAAAGGGGAAUGAGGUAGACAUAAUACCCCUGGAUUUCGGGAAAGUUUUUGACACAGUCCCAUAUGCCAUUCUCAUGUAUAAUUAGGAGAAAUGUGGAGGAAUUGCCUCCAUUAGGUGGAUACAUAAUUGGCUGAAUGACAAGAUAAGAAUGGUGAUUAAUGGAUCAAUGUCAGACUGGCAGGAGGUCUCAAGCAGAAUCCCACUGGGGUCUGCUCUGGUUCCAGUGCUAUUUAGCAUUUUUAUUAGUGAUCAGAAUAUAGGAAUAAUGAUCAGAUCUGCAGACAACACAGAAUUGGCAAAGGCUACAAACAUUUUGGAAGACAGGAUUCAAAUUCAAAGGCAUCUUGACAAAUGGGGAAGUGGGCUAUAGGCAUGAAAUUCAGAGACAAAUGUCAGGUGCUGUCUGUGAGG